RNAcentral lists this long non-coding RNA (2060 nucleotides) under Nicotiana benthamiana. RNAcentral describes it as "long non-coding RNA (NBEN_LNC007633)". Lineage: Eukaryota; Viridiplantae; Streptophyta; Magnoliopsida; Solanales; Solanaceae. The record is from RNAcentral.
AUUUAAUCUAACGGCCCCAGUUCCAUCUCGUGUAUUAGAUAAAAAUGUCCGAAAUUAAUUCUAACCCUAGAGACCAUUUGUUUCUUACUAGUACCACCUCGUGUGUCUCCGCCGUCUCCCACCGCCUUCCACCAUCCGCCGCCGGUAGGGAAUCGCCUCCGCCACCGGCAAAGAUCUAAAUGACCCAAAAUUUCACCACAAGCUCUCCUUUUCCUCCUCUUUUUAAACCUCAAAAUCAUCUCUAUCAAAUUAUAACCAAUCUUCGUAAAUAUUAGAUCUAAAAUCAGGCCAGAACCUCAACUCUUCCAAGUUCAACCAAAUUCACACCCUAUAUUUCCCUAACCCUUCUCUUCCUAAAUCCCAAACUGGAACUCUUCAAAUCCAAACGAAACCCCUUCAAUUUUAGAUCUAGGGUUUUCAAAUUUUAACCUAUUAUGGAGUUUCAAGAGUUCGGAUGAUUUUUAAUUAAUGUUCUAGGUUUUAUUUUGACAAAAUAAAAGUAUAACAAUAAUUAAAAUCAAUUCCGAAAAACAAUCAAGUUGAAGAACAAAAAUCAGUAAGUUUUCGUGUGAUUCUGUUUUUAUUUUGGUUCAAUAUUUGUUUCCUUCUGCUCUUGUAAUUGUCUUUAUAUCUUUUAGCUUAAUUUUGUUUGAUUUGUUUAAAUCAUGUCUUAGUAAUGUUAGGUGUUAGUUUAAUUUUCUUGAUACAUGUUUUACUUUAGUAUUCAUUGUUAUUAUAUGUUUUAGUCGAUUCUGUUUAGGUAUUGUUUGAUUUGUUAGUUAUAAUUAGUUUAAUUCAAUUUAGUUUGGUUUAGUCAAUAAUCGUUAUUGGUAAUUCCUUAGUUCAUUUAGUUAUUUAGGCUUAGCUUAAUUGAUUGAAUAUAGCUGAAUAACCCACUCCUAGAUUAACCAUAGUUAAAUGUAACUAAGGUAAAAGGGGUUGGGAGUUAUAGUUUGAUACUAGGGUUAGUAAUUUUAUGAUUAUUCAAGGGUAGUUUAGGCAUUGUAAAUGGCUCAGUUUGUUAAGGCUAAACAAUUUCAAAAUAGAAAUGGGGGUAGUGUAGGUAUUUCAUAGGUAGAAAGCAAAGCUAGAACACUCUUUUGAGUACCCGUGCUCCAAUCUCCCGUAUAUUAUACAGGAGUCAACAAAAUAUACCGGUCCAACAUAAUAUACUGGAGUUCGUACACAAAUGCACCGAACUCCCGUAUAUUAUACGGGACCGAUCUCUAUUGCAGUAAAAUAAUGGAUUUUUUUAUUGGCUUGACAAACACUGACUAUUUUUAAUUGACCAGGGUAAAAACUGAUUAUACCGUGCUAUUUUGGGAUCCCCUAUAAGGCCCAACAACUGCUUUAAUUAUCCAAAGCCCAAUAUCUGCUUAACAUCUAUAAAAUGGCUGGUUUGCUUUGUGUCCUCUUCUCAAUAUGAAAUCAUAUGUUAAUUUUGGGGAAAGGUUCAUCGUCAAAUUAUUUUAACAGAAAAAUAAUUUACAUAAAUUGUUACGUAGACAUUUUUCACAUUGAUAACAAGGGAGUAUGGAAUAUCUAAUCGAACAAUAUAGUUAUAAAAUCAUCAAAACUAGAACUUGUUACCUUAAUUAUAAUUCGAAUUGGUUACAUUUUCGCAGCUAAACUGUUUCCUUUCAAAACCAGCUACCCAAAAAACUAUGUUUACGUAGAUUUUCAUUUCUAUCUCCUAUUAAAACACUAGUAUGACAUAACAAUUAGUUUUGGAAUUUGUACGCAGAGUCAGAUUUAAGAUUUGAAGUUUAUGGGACUUAAGAGUUUUAGAAUUUAGUCUGUUAAAUGUUACUUGGUUUAAAAUAAAUAAUUUAUUUAUAUUCAAUGUAUCUUUAAAAACAAAUAUAGGACUUGGAUCAAAGUUACUGGAUUCAGUUGAACCAGUAACUCCUAUGCUAGCUCUACCCAUGUUUGUACGCCAAAGAAUUUACAUCAUUUUGAAGGGGAGAAAUUUAAAAAUAGUCAGAUUUACAAGUUUUCAUUCAAAAAUAGCUACAGUUUCAUAAGUAAUUGAAAUACACAUCUGAAAGAAAAUACUGUUC